UGGGGAAUAUUGCACAAUGGGCGCAAGCCUGAUGCAGCCAUGCCGCGUGUAUGAAGAAGGCCUUCGGGUUGUAAAGUACUUUCAGCGGGGAGGAAGGGAGUAAAGUUAAUACCUUUGCUCAUUGACGUUACCCGCAGAAGAAGCACCGGCUAACUCCGUGCCAGCAGCCGCGGUAAUACGGAGGGUGCAAGCGUUAAUCGGAAUUACUGGGCGUAAAGCGCACGCAGGCGGUUGAUUGAGUCAGAUGUGAAAUCCCCGGGCUUAACCCGGGAAUUGCAUCUGAUACUGGUCAGCUAGAGUCUUGUAGAGGGGGGUAGAAUUCCAUGUGUAGCGGUGAAAUGCGUAGAGAUGUGGAGGAAUACCGGUGGCGAAGGCAGCCCCCUGGACGAAGACUGACGCUCAGGUGCGAAAGCGUGGGGAGCAAACAGG
RNAcentral lists this ribosomal RNA (429 nucleotides) under Chloroflexota bacterium. RNAcentral describes it as "Chloroflexi bacterium partial 16S ribosomal RNA". It matches the Rfam family "Bacterial small subunit ribosomal RNA", at positions 355 to 776 of the family's 1533-position model. Lineage: Bacteria; Bacillati; Chloroflexota. The record is from RNAcentral.